AUCGCUUUUCAAAAUCUGACAUUUAAGUCAGGUUCUGUCACAAACAUAUUACACUGCUAAAGUCGUUAUCAGAUCUGCUUGACUAUACGGUAUGGGUUUUGUUCAUUUCUGUAUCAUUUGCUCUCUUGUAGAAUAGAGAGAGGGACGAAAGAUACCAGAGGGACAGUCAAACUCAUAACAUAGAAAACUAAAGACUAAGCA
RNAcentral lists this long non-coding RNA (201 nucleotides) under Mytilus galloprovincialis (Mediterranean mussel). The record is from RNAcentral. Lineage: Eukaryota; Metazoa; Mollusca; Bivalvia; Mytilida; Mytilidae.